UUGAGCACGACAUCCAACAGAGAAUAUAUGGGUAGGUGAUCAAUGUUUCCGAGGAACAUGAUCUUGGAAAUUGCACCAUAUACUUUCAAUCUGAACUCUGAAGAACGAUGUUAUCCACUCGUCCAUGGGGCUGGUAAUCUCGCAGCAUUGUGUACAUGGUGCUUGCGCAUAAAUAGUUCCUUAUCAGCAAAUUCGCAGUUAAAUGCUCUCACCUUGCUCUACUCGACCUAUUUGUUGUAUGUAACUCUAGAGCCGAACGAAAGUCAUCCCGGUUACAGUCGUUUCCUGCUGGAUCAGGGAUUAUAUUGGUGAUUACCACUAAAGCAAAGCGUUAUCACUCUGAAAGCUGCUGCUGCUGUAAUACCGCGACCAGUUCCUUGAUCCUUCAAAGAAAGCUUCAAGAGGUGUUUCGCAUAUCGAUUGAGAUCACAUGAAGAGACUCGUGCGAACAUCUAAUUCCAUGCCAAUCACAGCAGUUUCGAUGUUGCACGCUUUCUUGCCAAGAAGACAACCGAUUGGAUGGGUCAUCUAAAGAUGACUUAAAAUUUAGCAGAGCCUUUUUUCCUCUUCAUGGCAUGCAUGAGAGAAUAAUGGGCACAGAGAGAUGUUGAUCAAUAGAUACAGCAAGAAAUGAAGAUGAAUCAGAGUUGCUGUUAAUUGAGUUGUCUUGUUGAAUGAAUUCAUGGCCAACUAAAAAAUAAAUCAACUCUAUCUUGAUUAUAUGAAGCUAAUGAAUAAAUAUGCAGAAUGGGUCGGGU
Papaver somniferum (opium poppy) is the source of this 758-nucleotide long non-coding RNA. RefSeq lists it as uncharacterized. Lineage: Eukaryota; Viridiplantae; Streptophyta; Magnoliopsida; Ranunculales; Papaveraceae. The transcript has 3 exons. The record is from RefSeq and is a predicted model, not a curated record.